Molecule: long non-coding RNA, 1021 nt
Organism: Gossypium arboreum
Lineage: Eukaryota; Viridiplantae; Streptophyta; Magnoliopsida; Malvales; Malvaceae
Exons: 3
Source: RefSeq, a predicted model, not a curated record
GAAAUUAAAACAAAUUAAAGUGAGAGUAAAGCACUUUAAUUUCAUUUUCCUCUUCUUCACUUCAACGAACAGUAGAGCUAUGGAGGGGUUUUAGUUUUGGCUUAUUUCCUUUAUAGAUCAAGAUUUGACUAGGGUUUCAGCAACGAUUCUGAAAGGCUCAGGUGUGGUUCGGCAUCGAAAUCGUAUCAGGUCGCACAAGACGACUGUGGACAUACUGAUGGCUUUAAGCCGUUCAUAUUACUGGUAGCUUUGCUGCAAUACUAUUUAGUGCCACAACCGGUGCUAAUUUUGGUGUGUACGGAUGGGUGGGUCGAUUUUAUCCCUACAUGGUGUGUAAGGUUGGUACGGAGAUUGUGUGUAGAGGUUGAAUUGGUAGGACCUGCAUACUGUUUACUGUUGCUGCACUGUUUACUGUUACUGUAAUGGGCCAAGACCCGAGUAUAUGACUGCUUCUGUAUUAAGAUGGGCUAAAACCCAAACUGAUUUUGCCACUGUACUGAAAUGUACUGUUCUAAGGUUGCAUGGGUCGCCCAAGAUGACUGUGAACCUACUGUAGGGUUGGUAAACACUACUUAGACCCUUAAAUGCGUGAACUGUAUGUAUGACGUAUGUACUGAACAUGAUGACUAUAUGAACUGCUACUGAAACUGAAAUGGGCUAAGGCCCGAACUGCUACUGAAACUGAAAUGGGCUUAGGCCCAUACUGCUUUUGACUGUUUGUUGUGAUUGACUGAAUGAUUGUUUUCUGUGGGGAUUACACACUGAGUUUAUGUAAACUCACCCCUUUUUGUUUUAUCUGUAGAAGAAAUCCUCAGACUUAGACGGAUCGGUGUGGCGGAGCCUCUUGGUGACCACAUGUUCGAACUGAUUGUGAUUUUGCACUUAAUAAUUAAGUGUUGAUUAUUUUGGGUUUUAUAUUAUGUAAUGCGGUCUUUACGGACUGUUUUGUUUUGAUUCAGUUGUUUAGACUGCGACUUUAUGAUUACAUAAUUGAAAAAAAAAAACUCAGAGUUUAUCGAAA